GACGAACGCUGGCGGCGUGCUUAACACAUGCAAGUCGAACGGAAAGGCCCUGCUUUUGUGGGGUGCUCGAGUGGCGAACGGGUGGGUAAAACGUGAGUAACCUGCCCUUGACUUUGGGAUAACUUCAGGAAACUGGGGCUAAUACCGGAUAGGAGCUCCUGCUGCAUGGGGGGGGUUGGAAAGUUUCGGCGGUGGGGGAUGGACUCGCGGCUUAUCAGCUUGUUGGUGGGGUAGUGGCUUACCAAGGCUUUGACGGGUAGCCGGCCUGAGAGGGUGACCGGCCACAUUGGGACUGAGAUACGGACCAGAAGCCUACGGGAGGCAGCAGUGGGGAAUAUUGCACAAUGGGCGGAAGCCUGAUGCAGCAACGCCGCGUGCGGGAUGACGGGCUUCGGGUUGUAAACCGCUGUCGCCGGUGACGAAGCGUGAGUGACGGUAAUGGGUAAAGAAGCACCGGCUAACUACGUG
RNAcentral lists this ribosomal RNA (468 nucleotides) under uncultured bacterium. RNAcentral describes it as "partial 16S ribosomal RNA". It matches the Rfam family "Bacterial small subunit ribosomal RNA", at positions 28 to 507 of the family's 1533-position model. The record is from RNAcentral.